Molecule: transfer RNA, 68 nt
Filed under: Pseudolebinthus lunipterus
Lineage: Eukaryota; Metazoa; Arthropoda; Insecta; Orthoptera; Gryllidae
Description: Pseudolebinthus sp. 1 RN-2019 tRNA-Asp
Source: RNAcentral
GAAGAAAUUAGUUAACUUAAUAACAUUAAUAUGUCAUAUUAAAAUUAUUACUAAUAGUAAUAUUUCUU